GGGGCAAUGGCGUAGUUGGGAGCGCGUUUGACUGAAGAACAAACUUCAGGAACAAGGUUUUCACCUAGUUGAUCAGAAGGUCACCGGUUCGAUCCCGGUUUGCCCCA
This 107-nucleotide transfer RNA is filed under the name Microsporum audouinii. RNAcentral's name for it is "tRNA-Phe". It matches the Rfam family "tRNA". Rfam says of the family: Transfer RNA (tRNA) molecules are approximately 80 nucleotides in length. Their secondary structure includes four short double-helical elements and three loops (D, anti-codon, and T loops). Lineage: Eukaryota; Fungi; Ascomycota; Eurotiomycetes; Onygenales; Arthrodermataceae. The record is from RNAcentral. RNAcentral also lists the same sequence under 3 other names.